AUUUACUCAACCUAAUGAGGGUAAUAUUUUUCUAUCUAAUCUAUUAAUAUAUCACUCUUUUUCUGAAAGUAUUUGUUAAUGAUUAUCUAACUAACAUCUUGUAUGGUGAAUUGUAGAUGAAGAUGAACUUCUUAAGGAAACAAUAUCACAUGCUGAUUCAAAUGUGAUCGAUGGUACAAGUGGAAGCGGAGUCGUGAAACUUUAAUUAAUGGGUCAUGUAAUAUUUAGCAAUUUAGAUUUGUUAAGUAUUUGGGCUGCCUUGUGUCGCUGGAAAUCUUUUAAACCAGCUAGUUUUUUGUGGGAGGAAUGGUGGAAUGAUCAACAUUUAUCCGCUAAAUCUUACGUUGGCUAUUAUGUAUUUUUGUAAGUAUUCAC
RNAcentral lists this long non-coding RNA (375 nucleotides) under Solanum tuberosum (potato). RNAcentral's name for it is "long non-coding RNA (STUB_LNC007380)". Lineage: Eukaryota; Viridiplantae; Streptophyta; Magnoliopsida; Solanales; Solanaceae. The record is from RNAcentral.